CCUACGGGAGGCAGCAGUGGGGAAUAUCGCACAAUGGGGGAAACCCUGAUGCAGCGACGCCGCGUGAGUGAAGAAGUAAUUCGUUAUGUAAAGCUCUAUCAGCAGGGAAGAAAAUGACGGUACCUGAGUAAGAAGCCCCGGCUAACUACGUGCCAGCAGCCGCGGUAAUACGUAGGGGGCAAGCGUUAUCCGGAUUUACUGGGUGGAAAGGGAGCGUAGACGGCAGUGCAAGUCUGGAGUGAAAGGCGGGGGCUCAACCCCCGGACUGCUCUGGAAACUGUACGGCUGGAGUGCAGGAGAGGUAAGUGGAAUUCCUAGUGUAGCGGUGAAAUGCGUAGAUAUUAGGAGGAACACCAGUGGCGAAGGCGGCUUACUGGACUGUAACUGACGUUGAGGCUCGAAAGCGUGGGGAGCAAACAGGAUUAGAUACCCUUGUAGUC
This 440-nucleotide ribosomal RNA is filed under the name uncultured bacterium. RNAcentral's name for it is "partial 16S ribosomal RNA". It matches the Rfam family "Bacterial small subunit ribosomal RNA", at positions 338 to 795 of the family's 1533-position model. The record is from RNAcentral.